Molecule: transfer RNA, 73 nt
Filed under: Diaphorina citri (Asian citrus psyllid)
Lineage: Eukaryota; Metazoa; Arthropoda; Insecta; Hemiptera; Psyllidae
Rfam family: tRNA
About the family: Transfer RNA (tRNA) molecules are approximately 80 nucleotides in length. Their secondary structure includes four short double-helical elements and three loops (D, anti-codon, and T loops).
Source: Rfam by way of RNAcentral
GCCUAGUUAGCUUGGUUGGUAGCGCGUCUGCCUUGUAAGCGCUAGGUCGCGGGUACGAUUCCCGCUCGGGGCG